RNAcentral lists this ribosomal RNA (465 nucleotides) under uncultured bacterium. Its description in RNAcentral is "partial 16S ribosomal RNA". It matches the Rfam family "Bacterial small subunit ribosomal RNA", at positions 338 to 795 of the family's 1533-position model. The record is from RNAcentral.
CCUACGGGUGGCAGCAGUGGGGAAUAUUGCGCAAUGGGCGAAAGCCUGACGCAGCGACGCCGCGUGAGGGAUGAAGGUCUUCGGAUCGUAAACCUCUGUCAGCAGGGAAGAACGGUCACUGUGCUAAUCAGCAGUGAAUUGACGGUACCUGCAAAGGAAGCACCGGCUAACUCCGUGCCAGCAGCCGGGGUCAUACGGCGGGUGCGCGCGUUAAUCGGAAUUACGGGGCGUAAGGGGCUCGUAGGCGGUAUGUCAAGUCAAGGGUGAAAUCCCCGCGCUCAACGUGGGAACUGCCUUUGAAACGGGCAAACUGGAGUGUGUGAGAGGAUAGUGGAAUUCCAGGUGUAGGAGUGAAAUCCGGAGAUAUCUGGAGGAACAUCAGUGGCGAAGGCGACUAUCUGGCACAUAACUGACGCUGAGGAGCGAAAGCGUGGGUAGCAAACAGGAUUAGAUACCCCAGUAGUC